UACGUAGGGUGCGAGCGUUAAUCGGAAUUACUGGGCGUAAAGCGUGCGCAGGCGGUUUUGUAAGCCGGGGGUGAAAUCCCCGGGCUCAACCUGGGAAUGGCAUUUGGGACUGCAAGGCUGGAGUGCGGCAGAGGAGACUGGAAUUCCUGGUGUAGCAGUGAAAUGCGUAGAUAUCAGGAGGAACACCGAUGGCGAAGGCAGGUCUCUGGGCUGACACUGACGCUCAUGCACGAAAGCGUGGGGAGCAAACAGG
This 253-nucleotide ribosomal RNA is filed under the name uncultured bacterium. RNAcentral's name for it is "partial 16S ribosomal RNA". It matches the Rfam family "Bacterial small subunit ribosomal RNA", at positions 524 to 776 of the family's 1533-position model. The record is from RNAcentral.